UUAGCUAUUUUUCGAUACACACCUUACUGAUUUCUGAAGCAAACACCACGACAAGAAUUUCGUAACCUAAAUUCCAUAUUCACCACGCUCAAAUAGCAACAAAACCCAAAAUUAAAUCAUUAAACGACCAAAAUCGCUACCAAUAAACCUUAUCAAACGAGAAUCAACCUUUCGACAUCCGAUUACUUACCUAGAAUAGUAGCG
This 204-nucleotide long non-coding RNA is filed under the name Gossypium barbadense (sea-island cotton). RNAcentral describes it as "long non-coding RNA (GBAR_LNC006631)". The record is from RNAcentral. Lineage: Eukaryota; Viridiplantae; Streptophyta; Magnoliopsida; Malvales; Malvaceae.